RNAcentral lists this ribosomal RNA (465 nucleotides) under uncultured Klebsiella sp. RNAcentral's name for it is "bacterial SSU rRNA". It matches the Rfam family "Bacterial small subunit ribosomal RNA", at positions 338 to 795 of the family's 1533-position model. Lineage: Bacteria; Pseudomonadati; Pseudomonadota; Gammaproteobacteria; Enterobacterales; Enterobacteriaceae. The record is from RNAcentral.
CCUACGGGGGGCAGCAGUGGGGAAUAUUGCACAAUGGGCGCAAGCCUGAUGCAGCCAUGCCGCGUGUGUGAAGAAGGCCUUCGGGUUGUAAAGCACUUUCAGCGGGGAGGAAGGCGUUAAGGUUAAUAACCUUGUCGAUUGACGUUACCUGCAGAAGAAGCACCGGCUAACUCCGUGCCAGCAGCCGCGGUAAUACGGAGGGUGCAAGCGUUAAUCGGAAUUACUGGGCGUAAAGCGCACGCAGGCGGUCUGUCAAGUCGGAUGUGAAAUCCCCGGGCUCAACCUGGGAACUGCAUUCGAAACUGGCAGGCGAGAGUGUUGUAGAGGGGGGUAGAAUUCCAGGUGUAGCGGUGAAAUGCGUAGAGAUCUGGAGGAAUACCGGUGGCGAAGGCGGCCCCCUGGACAAAGACUGACGCUCAGGUGCGAAAGCGUGGGGAGCAAACAGGAUUAGAUACCCGGGUAGUC